RNAcentral lists this ribosomal RNA (441 nucleotides) under uncultured bacterium. RNAcentral's name for it is "partial 16S ribosomal RNA". It matches the Rfam family "Bacterial small subunit ribosomal RNA", at positions 338 to 795 of the family's 1533-position model. The record is from RNAcentral.
CCUACGGGAGGCUGCAGUGGGGAAUAUUGCACAAUGGGGGGAACCCUGAUGCAGCGACGCCGCGUGGGUGAAGGAGUCUUUCGGUAUGUAAAGCCCUAUCAUCAGGGAAGAACAAUGACGGUAUCUGACUAAGAAGCACCGGCUAAAUACGUGCCAGCAGCCGCGGUAAUACGGAUGGGGCGAGCGUUAUCCGGAUUUACUGGGUGUAAAGGGAGCGCAGGCGGCGCGGUAAGCCUGAUGUGAAAGCGCACGGCACAACCGCGGGACUGCAUUGGGAACGGGGUCUCUGGAGUGCGGGAGGGGUAGGCGGAAUUCCUAGUGUAGCGGUGAAAUGCGUAGAUAUUAGGAGGAACACCAGUGGCGAAGGCGGACUACUGGACGGUGACUGACGCUGAGGCUCGAAAGCGUGGGGAGCAAACAGGAUUAGAUACCCUAGUAGUC